This 460-nucleotide ribosomal RNA is filed under the name uncultured Methylomirabilota bacterium. RNAcentral describes it as "bacterial SSU rRNA". It matches the Rfam family "Bacterial small subunit ribosomal RNA", at positions 977 to 1434 of the family's 1533-position model. The record is from RNAcentral. Lineage: Bacteria; Methylomirabilota (SeqCode).
GGGCUUGACAUCCCACGAACCUGGCCGAAAGACGGGGGUGCCCGCAAGGGAGCGCGGAGACAGGUGGUGCAUGGCUGUCGUCAGCUCGUGUCGUGAGAUGUUGGGUUAAGUCCCGCAACGAGCGCAACCCUCACCCCUUGUUGCCAUCAGGUCAGGCUGGGCACUCUAGGGGAACUGCCCCGGUCAACGGGGAGGAAGGUGGGGACGACGUCAAGUCAUCAUGCCCCUUACGUCCUGGGCUACACACGUGCUACAAUGGCCGGUACAAAGGGAUGCAAGACCGCGAGGUGGAGCUAAACCCAAAAAGCCGGUCUAAGUUCAGAUUGGAGUCUGCAACUCGACUCCAUGAAGGAGGAAUCGCUAGUAAUCGCGCAUCAGCACGGCGCGGUGAAUACGUUCCCGGGCCUUGUACACACCGCCCGUCACACCACGAAAGCCAGCUGUACUCGAAGUCGCUGAG